RNAcentral lists this ribosomal RNA (490 nucleotides) under uncultured bacterium. Its description in RNAcentral is "bacterial SSU rRNA". It matches the Rfam family "Bacterial small subunit ribosomal RNA", at positions 28 to 513 of the family's 1533-position model. The record is from RNAcentral.
GAUGAACGCUAGCGGCAGGCUUAAUACAUGCAAGUCGAGGGGCAGCAUAAGUAGCAAUACUUGAUGGCGACCGGCAAACGGGUGCGGAACACGUACGCAACCUUCCUUUAAGUGGGGAAUAGCCCGGGGAAACCCGGAUUAAUACCCCGUAAUAUUAUGAUGUGGCAUCACAUUAUAAUUAUAGAUUCAUCGCUUAAAGGUGGGCGUGCGCCUGAUUAGGUAGUUGGCGGAGAAUAGCCCACCAAGCCUGCGAUCAGUAACUGGUGUGAGAGCACGACCAGUCACACGGGCACUGAGACACGGGCCCGACUCCUACGGGAGGCAGCAGUAAGGAAUAUUGGUCAAUGGACGCAAGUCUGAACCAGCCAUGCCGCGUGGAGGAUGAAGGUCCCCUGGAUUGCAAACUUUCUUUUAUUUGGGAAGAAAUGUGAUGAUUCUUUAUCACUUGACGGUACCAGAUGAAUAAGCACCGGCUAACUCCGUGCCAGCA